UUAACUCAAUUUUGUAUGGAGUUGGAACAGCGCCCCUAGCGGCAAACGUAGGCAAACGUUCCAAUUCCAUACAAAUUAGAGUUA
RNAcentral lists this microRNA precursor (84 nucleotides) under Bombyx mori (domestic silkworm). RNAcentral describes it as "mir-2807 microRNA precursor family". It matches the Rfam family "mir-2807 microRNA precursor family". The record is from Rfam by way of RNAcentral. Lineage: Eukaryota; Metazoa; Arthropoda; Insecta; Lepidoptera; Bombycidae.